GAUGAACGCUGGCGGCGUGCCUAAUACAUGCAAGUCGAGCGAACAGACGAGGAGCUUGCUCCUCUGACGUUAGCGGCGGACGGGUGAGUAACACGUGGAUAACCUACCUAUAAGACUGGGAUAACUUCGGGAAACCGGAGCUAAUACCGGAUAAUAUAUUGAACCGCAUGGUUCAAUAGUGAAAGACGGUUUUGCUGUCACUUAUAGAUGGAUCCGCGCCGCAUUAGCUAGUUGGUAAGGUAACGGCUUACCAAGGCAACGAUGCGUAGCCGACCUGAGAGGGUGAUCGGCCACACGGGAACUGAGACACGGUCCAGACUCCUACGGGAGGCAGCAGUAGGGAAUCUUCCGCAAUGGACGAAAGCCUGACGGAGCAACGCCGCGUGAGUGAUGAAGGUCUUCGGAUCGUAAAACUCUGUUAUUAGGGAAGAACAAAUGUGUAAGUAAAUAUGCACGUCUUGACGGUACCUAAUCAGAAAGCCACGGCUAACUACGUG
This 497-nucleotide ribosomal RNA is filed under the name uncultured bacterium. RNAcentral describes it as "partial 16S ribosomal RNA". It matches the Rfam family "Bacterial small subunit ribosomal RNA", at positions 28 to 507 of the family's 1533-position model. The record is from RNAcentral.